AACGAACGUUGGCGGCAUGCCUAACACAUGCGAGUCGAACGAGACCUUCGGGUCUAGUGGCGCACGGGUGCGUAACGCGUGGGAACCUGCCCUUAGGUUCGGAAUAACUCCCCGAAAGGGGUGCUAAUACCGGAUAAUGUCUUCGGACCAAAGAUUUAUCGCCUUUGGAUGGGCCCGCGUUGGAUUAGCUAGUUGGUAGGGUAAAAGCCUACCAAGGCGACGAUCCAUAGCUGGUCUGAGAGGAUGAUCAGCCACACUGGGACUGAGACACGGCCCAGACUCCUACGGGAGGCAGCAGUGGGGAAUAUUGGACAAUGGGCGAAAGCCUGAUCCAGCAAUGCCGCGUGAGUGAUGAAGGCCUUAGGGUUGUAAAGCUCUUUUACCCGGGAUGAUAAUGACAGUACCGGGAGAAUAAGCUCCGGCUAACUCCGUG
Molecule: ribosomal RNA, 433 nt
Filed under: uncultured bacterium
Lineage: Bacteria
Description: partial 16S ribosomal RNA
Rfam family: Bacterial small subunit ribosomal RNA
Source: RNAcentral